RNAcentral lists this small RNA (393 nucleotides) under Histoplasma capsulatum var. duboisii H88. RNAcentral's name for it is "Histoplasma capsulatum H88 hypothetical RNA". The record is from RNAcentral. Lineage: Eukaryota; Fungi; Ascomycota; Eurotiomycetes; Onygenales; Ajellomycetaceae.
UCAUUGACUGGCUACACAGCAUACUACUGGCACUACUGGCACUACUGGCACUACUGACACUAUUCUAUCUCAUGUUCAAUUCCAUCAGCAACUCUACCUUCAACUUCUUGAAUUCUCAAAUUCUCUACCCUCUACUUGAUCAAAUCCAAACCUGAAUCAUCAGUGAAUUUCCCUAUCAUCUUCUCAAACUUGUGUCUGGUGUCAGUAUAAAAGAAAGAGAGAAGAUGGGAAUAAAGGAAGAACUCCAAGAUCAAGAUAUGGUUGUGCAGCAUGUAACAAUAUUGCUCUCUGCUUGAAGAGAGGAUGUUGGAAGGAGUUCCAUAUUAAUUAGGACUAGCUAGUUAACUAGAUUAAAUAGAUUACAUAAAUUACACUAAAACACAUCAAUACAGC